UGGGCGUCGAGCGGCGGACGGGUGAGUAAUGCCUAGGAAAUUGCCUUGAUGUGGGGGAUAACCAUUGGAAACGAUGGCUAAUACCGCAUAAUGCCUACGGGCCAAAGAGGGGGACCUUCGGGCCUCUCGCGUCAAGAUAUGCCUAGGUGGGAUUAGCUAGUUGGUGAGGUAAUGGCUCACCAAGGCGACGAUCCCUAGCUGGUCUGAGAGGAUGAUCAGCCACACUGGAACUGAGACACGGUCCAGACUCCUACGGGAGGCAGCAGUGGGGAAUAUUGCACAAUGGGCGAAAGCCUGAUGCAGCCAUGCCGCGUGUAUGAAGAAGGCCUUCGGGUUGUAAAGUACUUUCAGUUGUGAGGAAGGGUGUGUAGUUAAUAGCUGCGCAUCUUGACGUUAGCAACAGAAGAAGCACCGGCUAACUCCGUGCCAGCAGCCGCGGUAAUACGGAGGGUGCGAGCGUUAAUCGGAAUUACUGGGCGUAAAGCGCAUGCAGGUGGUUCAUUAAGUCAGAUGUGAAAGCCCGGGGCUCAACCUCGGAACUGCAUUUGAAACUGGUGAACUAGAGUGCUGUAGAGGGGGGUAGAAUUUCNGGUGUAGCGGUGAANUGCGUAGAGAUCUGAAGGAAUACCAGUGGCGAAGGCGGCCCCCUGGACAGACACUGACACUCAGAUGCGAAAGCGUGGGGAGCAAACAGGAUUAGAUACCCU
RNAcentral lists this ribosomal RNA (707 nucleotides) under Vibrio sp. MR04-42. RNAcentral's name for it is "bacterial SSU rRNA". It matches the Rfam family "Bacterial small subunit ribosomal RNA", at positions 85 to 788 of the family's 1533-position model. The record is from RNAcentral. Lineage: Bacteria; Pseudomonadati; Pseudomonadota; Gammaproteobacteria; Vibrionales; Vibrionaceae.